UUCUUGGGCCUAAUUACUUUUCAAGGGAAAGCUGAUAAUCUCCCCUGGAUUAUUAGUAAUUUCCUAUUAAUUAUCAAAAUGAAAAAUAAACUUAGUUUUGUGAAAGAGAAUAAAAUUCGUAGAUUAUAAGCCGUCUCUCCAAAUUGGGUUUAUGAUUUCAUUCAGCCCUUCAAAAUGUAGUCCCAUCUUAUGAAUCAUUUUAUGAAAAAUAAAUUCUUACAAGC
This 224-nucleotide long non-coding RNA is filed under the name Spirodela polyrhiza (greater duckweed). Its description in RNAcentral is "long non-coding RNA (SPOL_LNC000719)". The record is from RNAcentral. Lineage: Eukaryota; Viridiplantae; Streptophyta; Magnoliopsida; Alismatales; Araceae.